AAAAGAUCCUGUUUCAUGAGAGAAAAGAGCAUUAAGCUUUAUUAACAAAUUUCUUAUUAUCGUGGACAAACAACAACCCAUUGGAUUUUUUUCUCUUCUCUAGGUUCUGACUUAAUGAAACCCACCAGUUUUUACACUCUAACUUUCCUAUUUCAAGUGUUGCCUGGAAAGGAAGUCUUAGAAUCCUGA
Molecule: long non-coding RNA, 189 nt
Filed under: Felis catus (domestic cat)
Lineage: Eukaryota; Metazoa; Chordata; Mammalia; Carnivora; Felidae
Description: lncRNA (ENSFCAG00000049704.1)
Source: RNAcentral